CCUGUGGGAGGCAGCAGUGGGGAAUAUUGGGCAAUGGGCGCAAGCCUGACCCAGCAACGCCGCGUGAAGGAAGAAGGCUUUCGGGUUGUAAACUUCUUUUCUCAGGGACGAAGAAAGUGACGGUACCUUAUGAAUAAGCAUCGGCUAACUCCGUGCCAGCAGCCGCGGUAAUACGGAGGAUGCGAGCGUUAUCCGGAUUUAUUGGGUUUAAAGGGUGCGUAGGCGGUUUUUUAAGUUAGUGGUUAAACGUCGGGGCUUCACCUUGAUUUGCCAUUAAUACUGUAAGACUCGAGUUCAGACGAGGUAGGCGGAAUAAGUUAAGUAGCGGUGAAAUGCUUAGAUAUAACUUAGAACUCCGAUAGCGAAGGCAGCUUACCAGACUGCGACUGACGCUGAAGCACGAGAGCGUGGGUAGCGAACAGGAUUAGAUACCCUAGUAGUC
Molecule: ribosomal RNA, 442 nt
Filed under: uncultured bacterium
Lineage: Bacteria
Description: partial 16S ribosomal RNA
Rfam family: Bacterial small subunit ribosomal RNA
Source: RNAcentral